AGCGUAGACGGUGUGGCAAGUCUGAUGUAGAAAGGCAUGGGCUCAACCUGUGGACUGCAUUGGAAACUGUCAUACUUGAGUGCCGGAGGGGUAAGCGGAAUUCCUAGUGUAGCGGUGAAAUGCGUAGAUAUUAGGAGGAACACCAGUGGCGAAGGCGGCUUACUGGACGGUAACUGACGUUGAGGCUCGAAAGCGUGGGAGCAAAACA
This 208-nucleotide ribosomal RNA is filed under the name uncultured bacterium. RNAcentral's name for it is "partial 16S ribosomal RNA". It matches the Rfam family "Bacterial small subunit ribosomal RNA", at positions 568 to 774 of the family's 1533-position model. The record is from RNAcentral.